GACAGAGGGUGCAAACGUUGUUCGGAAUCACUGGGCGUAAAGCGCAUGUAGGCGGCAGUGCAAGUCGGAUGUGAAAUCCCGCGGCUCAACCGUGGAAGUGCACCCGAAACUGCACAGCUUGAGUGUCGGAGAGGAAGGUGGAAUGCUUGGUGUAGAGGUGAAAUUCGUAGAUAUCAAGCGGAACACCGGUGGCGAAGGCGGCCUUCUGGACGACAACUGACGCUGAGAUGCGAAAGCGUGGGUAGCAAACAGG
This 253-nucleotide ribosomal RNA is filed under the name uncultured prokaryote. RNAcentral describes it as "partial 16S ribosomal RNA". It matches the Rfam family "Bacterial small subunit ribosomal RNA", at positions 524 to 776 of the family's 1533-position model. The record is from RNAcentral.